GUUUGUGCAGGAAUAGAAACCCUGACUAAGACAGUGGUCAAGUCUGAAUCCUGCCUUCCAGUCCCUUCUCCUAUUCUUAGGCCUCCCUCAGGUUACAGAACAUCUGAACUGGGUUUCCUUUUUUAGUAUUCCCAGAUACUAUCCCACUGUGCUCUGUGCUUACUCCCCUACCAUGUGUCUCUAAGCCCAUUCACUCUAUUUCCUGCACUGGUACAGACUGCCUGGGUCUGAGCCCUCAAAACCAUUUCUCAGGAUUCUAGUAAUCUUGUAAUCUUGCAUCAAAUUUUUUUCAGCAGAUACAGUGCCAUGUGGACCAUGCUGCCACAUACUUCUGACAGGUUUCUUCCUUGAUUCCUGAUCUGUGCUUUGUGAGUAAUUGACAAUGAAGAUCCUGCCCAUCUUUCUAUGGUGAGUUUGGCCAGAAUUAAGUCCAAUUGUGCUUUUCCCAAUAUGUAGAGACAGACAUCUUGGCCAUUAUCUCUUAUUGGUGAGAUCUCCAGAAGAUCCCCUUCCAGUACCUGUGUCACUAUACCAGGAUAGUUCUGGAAAUACAAAUCCUAUACUUUAUCUGUUGAAUUUCUGGAGAAUCAACAUACCCAUUCAUCCCCACCCAUGAAGGACUAAUUCUAAAUGCAGAUUUCUCUCAUCAUCUCUGCCUGUAUAGCUUUUCUGAAUCCCUCCUAUCCACACCAUGCACAAAGCCUGAGGCCUGUCUAUCAUACAGCUUCUGCAUCCAUCUUACUCAUUUUGUUAUCUAGCCACAGUUUCAUUUCCCAUGUCUACAUUCUAACUAUUUCUGAUCAACAUGGAAUGUGCCAGGUAUACAUGAUAUGAUGUAUAUAACUUUCCCUUCCAGUGUUCUUCUUAGCCUACCAUGUUUGUCUCUAGGCACCCAGCUCUGUACCCAUGUUCCAGCAAAAUUCCCCCAGUAUUAAGGCCCUAAAGUUAGUGUUCUCUGUAGGAGGACUAGCUCAGUAUGUGCAGAUUACACAUGGGUGUCCUGUAUAGGCAAGUCUGAACCUUGGCCUUCAGUAUGAUCACCUAUUUGUAGGCUUCCUCCAGGUCACAUAGAACCUGCACUGGUGUUCCCUGUUUUUCAUUCUCAAAUACAAGACUAAUUCUGCUGUGUGCACUCACCCAGACAUGCUACGCUAGACCCAUUUGUUGACUUUCCAGUUCUUACAAAGAUUGCCUGGCUUUGAGCCUCUCAGACAGUUUGCUAGGAAUCUAUCAAGUCUUUCAUUUUGCAACAUUUUUCUUUAUUUUCAUUACCUUAUCGACGAUGCUGCCCCAUUCUUCUGUCUUGUGUGAUAAAGUAUCACCAAUACUGUUUCUGUUAACACAAUGUAGACUCAUAUAAGCCAAAGGAACCUCAAUUGAGAACACUCUUACAUGAAAUGGACUGUAUAACUGCCUGUUGGGAGCUCUACUGAGUAAUGAUAAGUAUGGUAUUGUGGGGAACUCUAUGGGUGUUUCUCAACUUUUGGAGGUGGUUUGGGUUGUACACUAAGGCAAGUGGAGUUACCCAGGGAGUACAAUGUACUAUGUAGAAAUCCUUAGAGGUAUCUCUUUCAGUUCUUGCCUCUAGAAUUCUUCCUUGUUUCCUGACCCCUGUUCUCUCAGAGGUGGUAAGUAGAGCUCCUUCCCUGCUUACUAUGGUAAGUUUUUUGACAAUGAAGCCCAACUGUGCUAUUCUAAAUAAGCUCCUCUUCUAGUACCUUUGCCAAUGUGCCAGGAUAAUUCUAGUCACAGAGAUGUGCAAUAACUCUGUUGAAUUCCUGGAGAACCAAGGUACUCAUUCUACCACCACACUCUAAGGACUAAGUCUGGGUACAGUUUUCACUCAGCAUCUUCUUCUUAAUAGCUUCUUUGCAUCUCUCCUGUCCAUAACAUCCCAUGUUUGCAGGAAAACAUCUACAAAUAAUAUUUUCGAGUUUCCUGCACAACAUAUCAUGCUUGGCUCCAAGCACUAGGCUCUGUACCACAUUUCCUGGUGAGUUUGCUCUAAUAGUGAGUCCACAAACAUAGUCACAAUGGGAGGAGGCCUACCUAUGUAUAUCCAGAAUUCAUGUCAUUGUCCUUGGUAAGUCUGAAUCUUGCCCUCAAGUCCCUUCUCUUAUUCUUAGGCCUCCCUCAGGCUACAGAGCAUCUGGACUGGGCUUCUUUGUUUGGUAUUCCAAAUACUAGCCUAUUGUGCUCUGUGCUUACACCCAAACUAUGCUUGUCUAGACCCAUUUAAUUUAUUUCCAGCACUGACACAGAUUGCCUGGGUUUGAGUCUUCAAAACUGUUUUUUUUUUUCAGGAUUUGAUUAAUCUUGUAAUAUUGCAUCAUUUUUUUCAGCAGAUUCAGUGCCAUGUGGACCAUGCUGCCACAUACUUCUCCCAAGUGUGCUAGUGCCUGACAAUGAUGGAUUGUGUUAUGUUAUCUUGACAUGUUUUAGAGUCAUCUGAGAAGAAUGAACCUCAGUUAAGAACAUUACUCCAGGAAAUGGUAUAUAGAACAUCCUGUUGAGAGCUCCCUUGUGUACUGACUCUUAUGAUAGUAUGGAAUCCUCUCUGGGUUUUGCCAUGCUUUAGAUUAUUUGUGUUGUACCAGAAGGCAAGUACAGAUAAUACUGCAUUGCAAUGCAUUAUGUAGAAUUCUUCAGUGAUAUUUCUUUCAGUUCUUGCCUCUAGGUUUCUCCCUUGAUUCCUGACUUGUAUUUGCUCAAUGAUGGAGAGUGCAAUUGUUGCCCUGCAUAAUAUGUUUCAGCACUGGAAGAUUGAGACAGGAAGAACAUCAGAAGUUCUUUACCAACCUAGGCUACAUAGGUUGUUCAGGAAACUCAAAAAAUAUUACAAGCCAUUUCUAUUGCCCCUGACUGUCACUCAGAGUGAAAUGAGACCUGAACAAGAGUGUCGCCAAUGGACAUGCUAAUGUGGACAUUGAACAGUCAAGAGAACUUUACACUACCCAAAGAACUUUAGGCAACUGAAGAACACUGAGAGGAAGAGAAUUUCUCUUCCCCAGGGAAGAGGACACCAAUUGUUUACCACAAAGCAAAUGCUCAGCCCUAAAAACAUAAAUAUAGGAAAUACAUUAAAUAAA
Mus musculus (house mouse) is the source of this 3089-nucleotide long non-coding RNA. RefSeq annotates it as predicted gene 14707. The record is from RefSeq and is a predicted model, not a curated record. The transcript has 5 exons. Lineage: Eukaryota; Metazoa; Chordata; Mammalia; Rodentia; Muridae.